AGCGAACGCUGGCGGCAGGCCUAACACAUGCAAGUCGAACGAACUCUUCGGAGUUAGUGGCGGACGGGUGAGUAACACGUGGGAACGUGCCUUUAGGUUCGGAAUAACUCAGGGAAACUUGUGCUAAUACCGAAUGUGCCCUUCGGGGGAAAGAUUUAUCGCCUUUAGAGCGGCCCGCGUCUGAUUAGCUAGUUGGUGAGGUAAAGGCUCACCAAGGCGACGAUCAGUAGCUGGUCUGAGAGGAUGAUCAGCCACAUUGGGACUGAGACACGGCCCAAACUCCUACGGGAGGCAGCAGUGGGGAAUCUUGCGCCAUGGGCGAAAGCCUGACGCAGCCAUGCCGCGUGAAUGAUGAAGGUCUUAGGAUUGUAAAAUUCUUUCACCGGGGACGAUAAUGACGGUACCCGGAGAAGAAGCCCCGGCUAACUUCG
RNAcentral lists this ribosomal RNA (431 nucleotides) under uncultured bacterium. RNAcentral's name for it is "partial 16S ribosomal RNA". It matches the Rfam family "Bacterial small subunit ribosomal RNA", at positions 29 to 505 of the family's 1533-position model. The record is from RNAcentral.